UCCGUAGGUGAACCUGCGGAAGGAUCAUUACCGAGUGCGGGCCCCUCGGGGCCCAACCUCCCACCCGUGUUGCCCGAACCUAUGUUGCCUCGGCGGGCCCCGCGCCCGCCGACGGCCCCCCUGAACGCUGUCUGAAGUUGCAGUCUGAGACCUAUAACGAAAUUAGUUAAAACUUUCAACAACGGAUCUCUUGGUUCCGGCAUCGAUGAAGAACGCAGCGAAAUGCGAUAACUAAUGUGAAUUGCAGAAUUCAGUGAAUCAUCGAGUCUUUGAACGCACAUUGCGCCCUCUGGUAUUCCGGAGGGCAUGCCUGUCCGAGCGUCAUUGCUGCCCUCAAGCCCGGCUUGUGUGUUGGGCCCCGUCCCCCCCGCCGGGGGGACGGGCCCGAAAGGCAGCGGCGGCACCGCGUCCGGUCCUCGAGCGUAUGGGGCUUCGUCACCCGCUCUAGUAGGCCCGGCCGGCGCCAGCCGACCCCCAACCUUUAAUUAUCUCAGGUUGACCUCGGAUCAGGUAGGGAUACCCGCUGAACUUAAGCAUAUCAAUAAGCGGAGGAAAAGAAACCAACCGGGA
RNAcentral lists this ribosomal RNA (570 nucleotides) under Penicillium citrinum. RNAcentral describes it as "eukaryotic LSU rRNA". The stretch from base 171 to 324 matches the Rfam family "5.8S ribosomal RNA". The record is from RNAcentral. Lineage: Eukaryota; Fungi; Ascomycota; Eurotiomycetes; Eurotiales; Aspergillaceae.